This is a long non-coding RNA of Carcharodon carcharias (great white shark), 669 nucleotides long. RefSeq lists it as uncharacterized. NCBI's taxonomy places the organism in Eukaryota, Metazoa, Chordata, Chondrichthyes, Lamniformes, Lamnidae. The transcript is spliced from 3 exons. The record is from RefSeq and is a predicted model, not a curated record.
GAAAUUUCCUGAUAUCCAGACUGCCCUUGCCAGUUUCAUCAGCUGACUCCAGUGACUCUGCUCAGUAGCCACUCCACGUUUCUAAAGAAAAAACAAAAGUUAGGAUCUAUCAAGCUGGGUUCUGCCCUGGGAUCUGACUCAACUGGUCGUUACAUCAGCUGGCAUCAUAACACUUUUCUGCUCGCCAAUCCUCAAAAGACUCCAACAGCUCUUCUUAUAGCACUGACUUUCAGCUGGCAGGUGGUGUCUUUCACUUCUUUGAUCUUCAUCUUGAACAUGGCAAUAACAUCAGAACACUUAUCUCCUCAGCAGCUCCAAUGAGGUGCUGCUGGAAAAAAAGAUCAAAAUGCUUCACUACUCUCGGAUUCCCAGCAAAGAUACUAUGCGACAGUGAGGAUGUGGAAUGUGCCUGGCUGAUGAACAUUUAAGUGACUCCUUACACAUUUCUAACUCCCACAAUGUGCAAGUCUGAGUCUGGGAGAAUAGCACUGGAUCCAGAUUGAAGCAGUGUUGAACAUUUUAAGAGAAGAAUAACCCUGCAUCAAAAGGGGCAUAGCAGUCAGACUUGGAAAGCAUCCAGGAGUUGUGGCCUAACCAUUGUCUUCUACAGAUUAAGUACUUCCUUUCAAUUGUAGUCCAAUAUAUUUGGAUUAAAAGCCCAAAAAUUUU